Molecule: ribosomal RNA, 273 nt
Filed under: uncultured bacterium
Lineage: Bacteria
Description: partial 16S ribosomal RNA
Rfam family: Bacterial small subunit ribosomal RNA
Source: RNAcentral
UACAGAGGGGGCUAGCGUUAUUCGGAAUUAUUGGGCGUAAAGGGCGCGUAGGCGGCUUGGCAAGUGACGGGUGAAACCCCUCGGCUUAACCGAGGAACUGCCUGUCAGACUGCUUCGCUUGAGACCGGGAGAGGUGAGUGGAAUUCCCAGUGUAGCGGUGAAAUGCGUAGAUAUUGGGAGGAACACCAGUGGCGAAGGCGGCUCACUGGACCGGUACUGACGCUGAGGCGCGAAAGCGUGGGGAGCAAACAGGAUUAGAUACCCCCGUAGUCC